CAUUGCUGUUAAAACACAGUGUCAUAGACACAUCGCUUCUUGGCCUUUUGGCUAAGGUCAAGUGUAGUAUCUAGUCUUGUCAGUUUAAUAUCUGAUACGUCCUGUAUCUGAGGGCAUUAUAUUAAAUGGAUAUUUGGAGCUCGGAAAUGGAAUAGCAGAUUGUUCCAUUCACUCUGCACAUCGACCUGGUAUGGUAGUACUUCUGGGAAUGGUGCACCCCCUCGGGGUAUAAGAAAAAAAGGUGUCACAGACGUUACUGGUUAUUAAGAAUUAAGUCCAUACUUCAUCCUCCAUGCCUCAAAAUCAAGUUGGGUAUUUAAUGCAAUUUGUAUUUCAUUAAUGACAACUAAUCUUGAGCAUCUUUCCUGUGUUUUUUCUUUCUUAACAAUCUGUAUAGCUUCUUCAGUGAAGUGCCUAAUUAGUGUUCUUUGAGGGUCCAAGUGUUUGUUGUGUCUAAAAUUGCAAUAUUCCAAAGCCAAUAUGUUUUUGUAGGUUUAAACACUAGAAGAUCUACUAUAAGCAUCAUGUCUCUGGUACACAAGGCUUUACUUCUCUAAUUGUCUCCCAGACCCGGGAGACAGAACAGUCUAAAUGGAGCACAGGUUGUAUCCCAAGCAUGGGACUGUUCUGUCAAUUUCACUGGCCAAACGCUGGCCCUGGUAAACAUACAUCUAGCAGACCUUUGCUUUUUAGGUAGCAGCAUGCACUUCUGACACUGCUGAGGGCAUUUUUCUUCAUGAGAGCCCCUCUGAGGAAUCUGAGUGCUCUGGGAUUUGUCCUCACCAUUCAACAAAUGAGGACAUCAUUUAAGGAAUUACUGAAAAGCAGGAUAUACCUUGGUAAAAAU
This is a long non-coding RNA of Phyllostomus discolor (pale spear-nosed bat), 847 nucleotides long. RefSeq lists it as uncharacterized. NCBI's taxonomy places the organism in Eukaryota, Metazoa, Chordata, Mammalia, Chiroptera, Phyllostomidae. The record is from RefSeq and is a predicted model, not a curated record. The transcript is spliced from 3 exons.